CAGAACGAAAUAUUGCCAACCAAUUUGAUACUGUCUGCUGUGUAAUAACAUUAGAAUGAAAUACUUCAUUAAUAUUCUGAGCUGUCUAUGGUGCAAUAU
Molecule: long non-coding RNA, 99 nt
Organism: Octopus sinensis (East Asian common octopus)
Lineage: Eukaryota; Metazoa; Mollusca; Cephalopoda; Octopoda; Octopodidae
Exons: 3
Source: RefSeq, a predicted model, not a curated record